This is a long non-coding RNA of Hydra vulgaris (swiftwater hydra), 317 nucleotides long. RefSeq lists it as uncharacterized. The record is from RefSeq and is a predicted model, not a curated record. NCBI's taxonomy places the organism in Eukaryota, Metazoa, Cnidaria, Hydrozoa, Anthoathecata, Hydridae.
GCUGCCUUGUUCUAUAUAAAUGUUUCUAACAUGCAGGUAACAUUUAUAUAUGUAUUAGUUUGAAUAAAUCAUUUUAAUAAAGUUACAUUAUAGGCAGGAAUGUUUGACUGGAAAUAUAAACAAUGUUGUACAUAAUGCAGAUAGCUUAGGCAAAAAAGAGAUUGGUGAAAUGGAGAAUGAGACUAACUAGGGUGAAAAAAAAUGAAUAUUAAUAUGUGAAUGGUACUUUGUUUAACAUCUACCUGUUUCUACAGAUACAGUACAGACGCAUUUAUAAAUGGGCUUGAUGUUUUUUUGAAUUAAAUAUGUUGUAUUGA